AAACAUGCAAGUCGAGCGGAAACAGGAAAGGUGCUUGCACCUUUGCUGUCGAGCGGCGGACGGGUGAGUAAUGCCUAGAUAUCUGCCUAGUCGUGGGGGAUAACAGUUGGAAACUGACUGCUAAUACCGCAUACUGCCCUACGGGGGAAAGGAGGGGACCUUCGGGCCUUUCGCGAUUAGAUGAGUCUAGGUGGGAUUAGCUAGUAGGUAAGGUAAUGGCUUACCUAGGCGACGAUCCCUAGCUGUUCUGAGAGGAUGAUCAGCCACACUGGGACUGAGACACGGCCCAGACUCCUACGGGAGGCAGCAGUGGGGAAUAUUGCACAAUGGGGGAAACCCUGAUGCAGCCAUGCCGCGUGUGUGAAGAAGGCCUUCGGGUUGUAAAGCACUUUCAGCGAGGAGGAAAGGGUAGUAGUUAAUAACUGCUAUCUGUGACGUUACUCGCAGAAGAAGCACCGGCUAACUUCGUGCCAGCAGCCGCGGUAAUACGAGGGGUGCAAGCGUUAAUCGGAAUUACUGGGCGUAAAGCGUACGCAGGCGGUUUGUUAAGCAAGAUGUGAAAGCCCCGGGCUCAACCUGGGAAUUGCAUUUUGAACUGGCAAACUAGAGUCUUGUAGAGGGGGGUAGAAUUUCAGGUGUAGCGGUGAAAUGCGUAGAGAUCUGAAGGAAUACCGGUGGCGAAGGCGGCCCCCUGGACAAAGACUGACGC
RNAcentral lists this ribosomal RNA (709 nucleotides) under Shewanella sp. J327. RNAcentral describes it as "bacterial SSU rRNA". It matches the Rfam family "Bacterial small subunit ribosomal RNA", at positions 51 to 746 of the family's 1533-position model. Lineage: Bacteria; Pseudomonadati; Pseudomonadota; Gammaproteobacteria; Alteromonadales; Shewanellaceae. The record is from RNAcentral.